UGCUUAACACAUGCAAGUCGAGCGGUAAGGCCCCUUCGGGGGUACACGAGCGGCGAACGGGUGAGUAACACGUGAGCAAUCUGCCCAUCACAUCGGGAUAACUUCGGGAAACCGAAGCUAAUACCGGAUACGACCACUUCAGGCAUCUGACGGUGGUGGAAAGUUCCGGCGGUGAUGGAUGAGCUCGCGGCCUAUCAGCUUGUUGGUGGGGUAACGGCCCACCAAGGCUUCGACGGGUAGCCGGCCUGAGAGGGUGACCGGCCACACUGGGACUGAGACACGGCCCAGACUCCUACGGGAGGCAGCAGUGGGGAAUAUUGGACAAUGGGCGAAAGCCUGAUCCAGCAACGCCGCGUGAGGGAUGACGGCCUUCGGGUUGUAAACCUCUUUCAGCAGGGACGAAGCGCAAGUGACGGUACCUGCAGAAGAAGCACCGGCCAACUACGUGCCAGCAGCCGCGGUAAUACGUAGGGUGCAAGCGUUGUCCGGAAUUAUUGGGCGUAAAGGGCUCGUAGGCGGUUUGUCGCGUCGGGAGUGAAAACUCAGGGCUUAACCCUGAGCCUGCUUCCGAUACGGGCAGACUAGAGGUAUGCAGGGGAGAAUGGAAUUCCUGGUGUAGCGGUGAAAUGCGCAGAUAUCAGGAGGAACACCGGUGGCGAAGGCGGUUCUCUGGGCAUUACCUGACGCUGAGGAGCGAAAGUGUGGGGAGCGAACAGGAUUAGAUACCCUGGUAGUCCACACCGUAAACGUUGGGCGCUAGGUGUGGGACUCAUUCCACGAGUUCCGUGCCGCAGCUAACGCAUUAAGCGCCCCGCCUGGGGAGUACCGCCCGCAGGCUAAAACU
RNAcentral lists this ribosomal RNA (844 nucleotides) under uncultured bacterium. RNAcentral describes it as "bacterial SSU rRNA". It matches the Rfam family "Bacterial small subunit ribosomal RNA", at positions 45 to 901 of the family's 1533-position model. The record is from RNAcentral.